RNAcentral lists this ribosomal RNA (518 nucleotides) under uncultured bacterium. RNAcentral's name for it is "bacterial SSU rRNA". It matches the Rfam family "Bacterial small subunit ribosomal RNA", at positions 981 to 1498 of the family's 1533-position model. The record is from RNAcentral.
UUGACAUCAUCAGAACUUGUUAGAGAUAACUCGGUGCCUUCGGGAACUGAAUGACAGGUGCUGCAUGGCUGUCGUCAGCUCGUGUCGUGAGAUGUUGGGUUAAGUCCCGCAACGAGCGCAACCCUUAUCCUUAGUUGCCAGCACAUUAUGGUGGGAACUCUAAGGAGACUGCCGGUGAUAAACCGGAGGAAGGUGGGGAUGACGUCAAGUCAUCAUGGCCCCUAUGGGUAGGGCUACACACGUGCUACAAUGGCCAGUACAGAGGGCAGCGAACUCGCGAGAGUAAGCAAAUCCCAGAAAGCUGGUCGUAGUCCGGAUUGGAGUCUGCAACUCGACUCCAUGAAGUUGGAAUCGCUAGUAAUCGCGAAUCAGAAUGUCGCGGUGAAUACGUUCCCGGGCCUUGUACACACCGCCCGUCACACCAUGGGAGUGGGCUGCAAAAGAAGUGGGUAGCAUAACCUUCGGGAGUGCGCUCACCACUUUGUGGUUCAUGACUGGGGUGAAGUCGUAACAAGGUA